RNAcentral lists this non-coding RNA (165 nucleotides) under Caulobacteraceae bacterium. RNAcentral describes it as "6S RNA". It matches the Rfam family "6S / SsrS RNA". Rfam says of the family: E. coli 6S RNA was the first non coding RNA to be sequenced, but its function was unknown until recently. It consists of 184 nucleotides that fold into an extended hairpin structure with a large single-stranded internal bulge. The record is from RNAcentral. Lineage: Bacteria; Pseudomonadati; Pseudomonadota; Alphaproteobacteria; Caulobacterales; Caulobacteraceae.
GUCUUGCUGCGGCUCGCGUCGAAGGCUUCACAUCCCGGGGACCUUAAUUCUCUCUAUAGGGAGCUGUCCCUGUCCGGGAUCGUGGUCCUGGACACACGGCGCCCACCUGGUCUGACCAGGUCCGAGUGGAUUGAAACCGCCUUCACGGUUCUUCGCGGCGCCGCC